UCUUUAUUACAAACAGAGAGAGAUUACAGACAUCACACGCAAAGCGCCGCCUUCAGUGCUUCACCUCUAAUCCCUAUUUCUUCCUAUUCUCACGCUACCAGCUCAGCUCGUCUGCAAUCUCUCUCUGUUUUCCGCCGCUCGUCGCCCCCUCCGGCCCACGCCGCUCGCCUCGAAAUCUCUACAGCAGCAGCCUGCGCCGUGCUCCGCCUCACUGUGCAGCCUCACCGCCGCCUCUGCCCUCACUCAGCCAGACGGUUGUGGCGAAGAAUCGCCGCCUUCUCUUUCCUUCCCUGCUCCGACCAACCGCAGUCGCCGCCUUCUUCUCCUGCGUACAGUAACGCCGUGCAUUUUCACAACCCAAUAGUGUUUAGUUCAAUAAAUAAAAUGCUAAAGUCAAUAGUGUUUAUAAUAACUUUGGGCCCAUAAUAAUACUAAAAUUAAACAAAAUGAGGGCCCAACUAAAAUGAAAUGAAAUGAGAUGGCAUAAAAACAAAUAAAACCCUAAUAUCCCUAACUUGCAUUUCUUCCCAGUCUUAGCGCCGCUUCUUCAUCUUUUCCAUUCUUCUUCAGUUUUUUUCGUGAUUCUUCUUCUUCAUUAGUGUUGCAAACUCAUUUGCGCUGCAGUCACCUCUAAAUUCCCUAUGCUUUCGCUCUCAUUCUCUGUCUCGUCAGCAACCUCUCUAAGUCUUCCGCCGGUCGUCGUCCGCCUCCUCUUGUUGCCGUCGCCCAUUUGGCUUCACCUCGGAAACUCCUCAGCAGCAGCCUGCGUCUACCUUGCCCCGCUCCGUCUCAGUGCGCAAGCUCAGCAUUUGUCGUCGCCUCGCCUUCUCCGACCUCGGCGCCUCCGCCUAGCCAGUCCGCACAAGUAAACUCGAGAAAGAGUUUACAUAGAGAAGAUCUUUUCCAGACUUUGUGGUGUAGUUUCCAAAUCAUCUGGUAUUUAUAGACUAAAUUCAUAGUAAAUUGGCUCCAAGAUAUGGUGAAUUUGAAUUUUGAAUUUGAAUUUAGGCUCCAAUUAUUGGAGCCAAAAUUGCACAUCUUAGCAAUGUUCAGCAGAUAAAACAAACAAAAUUACCCUCUGGAUAAAUUGAUGUGUGCAAUGGCGGGAUCACAUUCCCCCAAGUUUCUAUACUUUAAUAUAUGUAUAGAUAGAUAGAU
RNAcentral lists this long non-coding RNA (1158 nucleotides) under Salvia miltiorrhiza (redroot sage). RNAcentral's name for it is "long non-coding RNA (SMIL_LNC000680)". The record is from RNAcentral. Lineage: Eukaryota; Viridiplantae; Streptophyta; Magnoliopsida; Lamiales; Lamiaceae.